GAUGAACGCUGGCGGCGUGCCUAAUACAUGCAAGUCGAGCGAACGGACGAGAAGCUUGCUUCUCUGAUGUUAGCGGCGGACGGGUGAGUAACACGUGGAUAACCUACCUAUAAGACUGGGAUAACUUCGGGAAACCGGAGCUAAUACCGGAUAAUAUUUUGAACCGCAUGGUUCAAAAGUGAAAGACGGUCUUGCUGUCACUUAUAGAUGGAUCCGCGCUGCAUUAGCUAGUUGGUAAGGUAACGGCUUACCAAGGCAACGAUGCAUAGCCGACCUGAGAGGGUGAUCGGCCACACUGGAACUGAGACACGGUCCAGACUCCUACGGGAGGCAGCAGUAGGGAAUCUUCCGCAAUGGGCGAAAGCCUGACGGAGCAACGCCGCGUGAGUGAUGAAGGUCUUCGGAUCGUAAAACUCUGUUAUUAGGGAAGAACAUAUGUGUAAGUAACUGUGCACAUCUUGACGGUACCUAAUCAGAAAGCCACGGCUAACUACGUGCCAGCAGCCGCGGCAAUACGUAGGUGGCAAGCGUUAUCCGGAAUUAUUGGGCGUAAAGCGCGCGUAGGCGGUUUUUUAAGUCUGAUGUGAAAGCCCACGGCUCAACCGUGGAGGGUCAUUGGAAACUGGAAAACUUGAGUGCAGAAGAGGAAAGUGGAAUUCCAUGUGUAGCGGUGAAAUGCGCAGAGAUAUGGAGGAACACCAGUGGCGAAGGCGACUUUCUGGUCUGUAACUGACGCUGAUGUGCGAAAGCGUGGGGAUCGAACAGGAUUAGAUACCCUGGUAGUCCACGCCGUAAACGAUGAGUGCUAAGUGUUAGGGGGUUUCCGCCCCUUAGUGCUGCAGCUAACGCAUUAAGCACUCCGCCUGGGGAGUACGACCGCAAGGUUGAAACUCAAAGGAAUUGACGGGGACCCGCACAAGCGGUGGAGCAUGUGGUUUAAUUCGAAGCAACGCGAAGAACCUUACCAAAUCUUGACAUCCUUUGACAACUCUAGAGAUAGAGCCUUCCCCUUCGGGGGACAAAGUGACAGGUGGUGCAUGGUUGUCGUCAGCUCGUGUCGUGAGAUGUUGGGUUAAGUCCCGCAACGAGCGCAACCCUUAAGCUUAGUUGCCAUCAUUAAGUUGGGCACUCUAAGUUGACUGCCGGUGACAAACCGGAGGAAGGUGGGGAUGACGUCAAAUCAUCAUGCCCCUUAUGAUUUGGGCUACACACGUGCUACAAUGGACAAUACAAAGGGCAGCGAAACCGCGAGGUCAAGCAAAUCCCAUAAAGUUGUUCUCAGUUCGGAUUGUAGUCUGCAACUCGACUACAUGAAGCUGGAAUCGCUAGUAAUCGUAGAUCAGCAUGCUACGGUGAAUACGUUCCCGGGUCU
Molecule: ribosomal RNA, 1372 nt
Filed under: uncultured bacterium
Lineage: Bacteria
Description: bacterial SSU rRNA
Rfam family: Bacterial small subunit ribosomal RNA
Source: RNAcentral